This 425-nucleotide ribosomal RNA is filed under the name uncultured bacterium. Its description in RNAcentral is "partial 16S ribosomal RNA". It matches the Rfam family "Bacterial small subunit ribosomal RNA", at positions 354 to 796 of the family's 1533-position model. The record is from RNAcentral.
GUGGGGAAUAUUGGACAAUGGGCGAAAGCCUGAUCCAGCCAUGCCGCGUGAGUGAUGAAGGCCUUAGGGUUGUAAAGCUCUUUCAGUAGGGAAGAUAAUGACGGUACCUACAGAAGAAGCCCCGGCUAACUUCGUGCCAGCAGCCGCGGUAAUACGAAGGGGGCUAGCGUUGUUCGGAUUUACUGGGCGUAAAGCGCACGUAGGCGGAUUGGUCAGUUAGAGGUGAAAUCCUGGAGCUCAACUCCAUAACUGCCUUUAAUACUGCCAGUUUAGAGUGCAGAAGAGGGGAGUGGAACUCCUAGGGUAGAGGUGGAAUUCGUAGAUAUUAGGAAGAACACCAGUGGCGAAGGCGGCUCACUGGUCUGGUACUGACGCUGAGGUGCGAAAGCGUGGGGAGCAAACAGGAUUAGAUACCCGUGUAGUCC